Molecule: unclassified non-coding RNA, 1258 nt
Filed under: Hevea brasiliensis (rubber tree)
Lineage: Eukaryota; Viridiplantae; Streptophyta; Magnoliopsida; Malpighiales; Euphorbiaceae
Source: RNAcentral
AGAGAGAUUGUAGACAUUUUCAAUUUUCAAAUAUGAUUGAAUUGUUAGUAAAAACAUGGCAGCAUGUCUCAAGCUUCCAAUUUCUCUGUACUUAUUUACAUAAAUAAUUUUUGGUAGGGUGGGUACUGAAUUGUUCUUUCUAUAAAUUAUUAUUCAGUAGCAGAAUGAAUAUAUAUAUAUGAUACAUCCACAAAUUCAAGGUUUAGAUAUUUUAAGCAUUGCUUCUUAUUGUAAUUAUAAUCUUUUGAUUACAAAAUAUUUAUGUUUUUCUAAUCUUUUGAUUGCAAAAUAUUUACCUUUUUCUUAGUUACUUCAUUAGCUUAUAUACUUGCAAUAAAUCAAAAUGCAAUUUAAGAUGCCAGUGGCCAGCAGGUGUGCUCUUUAUUUUCCAAUUGUCAACAUCAUAUCUAGCACUUCUGCAAGUUAUUAUCUGACCUCACUGAUAUUUGUAUUUCUCUACCUUCUUGUAGAUUUGUUCAGGUUUUUCUUUUAUUAUAAAUUUCCAUAUAUACUGUCUUCUCAGUAUUCUUUCUUCAUUUUACAAUUUUUUUAACUGUUUCAGAUUGUUCAUGCCAUGAUACAAAUGACACUUGAAAAUUUCUUAUUUUACUCUUGUGCCAUUUAUCCUUAAGAUUCAGAACAGAAAUACACUUCAUUUGUUGCAUAGAUUGGCCAUAAUCAGGUGAUGCUUGUUUUCCCACAUUGGUUUGGGAUAAAAUGCUUGUGCUACAUAUAGGAUUUGGGCAAACCUCCUCCCCUUGAUCUAGCUUUUGGGAUAGAGUUAGGUCCGGUCUAUUUCUCUACAUGAUAUUAAAAUCUAAAAUCUAUCUGCUUUAAUAUUGGACUACGUGCAAAUGUGUUUGCCUGCAAAUUUUAUGUUUCAGAUGUUCAUACCUGAGCGUGAAGGAGUGAGUUAUCUCACAUUAGUUUGGGAUAAGAUGCUUGUGCUAUAUAUAUAUAUAUAUCCUAAGUAAUCCUCCUCCCCUUGAACUAGCUUCUAGGAUGGAGUUAAGCUUGAUUUAUUUUCUUUACAAUGCUAGAUUGUACAUCUAUUUGCCACUUCGAAAGUCUGGGUGGAUGAAGUGCUUUAUUCGAAGCCUUGUAUGUUCAAUUAUCUUACAUAGAACAUGGAUUAAAAACCUUUUUACCCCUUCUUUUAAUAAGUCAGAUUAUUCAUGUACUGGAAGACAAUCUUGAUAUUAUUGUUUCCAACCAGUCAAAUUUCUUGUUGUAGCUUGGCGCACAGCCGCUCGAUGCU